RNAcentral lists this ribosomal RNA (338 nucleotides) under uncultured bacterium. RNAcentral's name for it is "partial 16S ribosomal RNA". It matches the Rfam family "Bacterial small subunit ribosomal RNA", at positions 338 to 691 of the family's 1533-position model. The record is from RNAcentral.
CCUACGGGUGGCAGCAGUGGGGGAUAUUGCACAAUGGGGGAAACCCUGAUGCAGCGACGCCGCGUGGGCGAAGAAGUACUUCGGUAUGUAAAGCUCUAUCAGCAGGGGAGAAGAAAUGACGGUACCUGAGUAAGAAGCACUGGCUAAAUACGUGCCAGCAGCCGCGGUAAUACGGAUGGCGCAAGCGUUAUCCGGAUUUACUGGGUGUAAAGGGAGCGCAGGCGGUACGGCAAGCCUGAUGGGAAAGCCAGGGGCCCAACCGCUGGAGUGCAUUUGGAACUACCGGGCUGGAGUGCGGGAGGGGUAGGCGGAAUGCGUGGUGUAGCGGUGAAAUGCGU